Molecule: long non-coding RNA, 5069 nt
Organism: Octopus sinensis (East Asian common octopus)
Lineage: Eukaryota; Metazoa; Mollusca; Cephalopoda; Octopoda; Octopodidae
Exons: 3
Source: RefSeq, a predicted model, not a curated record
ACACACACACACACAUAUAAAUAUAUAUAUAAAUCUUACUUUGCCAUCACUUGAAGUGUUAGGGAAUUGUAAUUAAUGGCAUAGGCAAUGUGCCUGCUACUGAAUUGUUGGGGUCUUUACUCUUUGUCCUCUUAGCUAAAUGAAUGUCUGACUAGAAAACAUCGAAGCACAUCCACACACACACACACACACACACUUGCUGUUCCUCUUGUUUCCACCCACUACCAGAGCCUGAACUAUAGAGAUAUACUUAAGAUAACAUAAUAGAUAUUGCUCUACUUGUGUGUUAUCUGAACUUUUAUUUAUAUUAAAAUAUAUCUUUUAGUAUUUUCCAUUUAUAGUGGUGGCUGUCAUUGUAGUGCUCCUAUUUAAAAAAACUGUGGGUAAUUCUGAAUAAUUUAUUCAUUUGGUUACUUCUGUGGGAUUCUGGAUUGGAUGACUUUAGUAGAAUGGUAAUAUUCUGGAAUUAAUUUCAUCAACUACCAAAUCCUCACCUUCUCUAGAAAAUUCAUCUUUUGCCAAUUUGUCUCCCAAAACCCUCUUUUUUUUUAUUUUCAUUAUACUACUAAUGUAUUUUGCAUGUGGGGGAAACAGUAUUCGCUAGACUACAUGGCUAACUAUGUCACAGUAUUUAGAUUUUCUCUACUACCUUCUGAUUUCAAAUCUCAAAGGAUUUGAUUCUAUCUGCCAUCCCUUUAGGGAUCAAGAAAAGAAGUACUAAACAUGUAUUGGUUUAGUACUUCUUCAAUCAACUAUGUUUUAGUUGUGUACCAAUGUGAGAAAUUAUCAUCAUCAUUAUUAUUAUUAUUAUUAUUGAGCUGGCAAAAUUGUUAGCACACAGGUGAAAUACAUAAUGGUAUUUUGUCUGUCUUUAUGUUCUGAGUUCAAAUUCUGCCAAAGUCGACUUUACCUUUCAUUCUUUCAAGGUUGAUAAAAUAAGUACCAGUUGAACACCGAGGUUGAUGUAAUCUCUUUAUCUCCCCCCACAAAAUUGUUGGCCUUGUGCCAAAAUUUAAAAUCACCAUUAUUAUUAUUAUUAUUAUAGAAGGGAUGAAGAUUUUCUUUGAAAGUUGUUUCUAUUGUUUGUCUUACACUCAACAACCAGAAAGAUAAUUGUCUGUGAUAUUGAAUUAGCAAUUUUGAUUAUGCCCCACCCUUUCAUAUUUACUAAAUUUCUUUGCUAUGUUUUGGUAUGAUGUCUUUCUGUAAAGGUAAAGACAAAAAGGAAGGGAUAGGGUGCAUCAGAAUCAAGUAAUUAUAUUGUAAAUAUAUCUUUGGAAAUAAUUAUUAUUUUAUGAAUUCAGUGAUUAAUUGAUUUGAAAAUUUAUUUCCAUUUCUUUCCCUUCUUUUUUUAAAUACUUAUUAUUAUUUUUUUUUUGUCUUUCUGAAAUGUCUUCUUCCUCCUCUUUCUGUCUCAUAUCAUCAUCAUCUUCCAUAGACUUCACCAUUUCUCUCUGCAUUACUUCAUUUAUUUGUGGAGAAUUAUUCCCUCCCACCAGUUAAACCUUUCUACUCAACCUGGAAUUUACAUAUGUGUGUGUGUGUGUAUGUGUAGAUAUAUAUUGAUAGCUGAUUAGUAAAUAUUCAAAAGACAUAGAUAAAGGUUACACACAUGCAAGGAAGAGUGGUCACUGAUAGGUUGACUUGAUCGAGUAGUUCUGUGAAGGAAAAUUCAGAAGUUUGAAAAGUUUUACAGUUAUUAAAGAUAAAUUAUUAUGAUAAGAAUGAUGGAUUGACACUAUUGUUAGUGUCAGACCAAAUGCUCUGUGAUUAUUUCUUCCAGCUCUUUUUACAUUCUGAGUUGAAAUUCUAUCAAGGUCAGCUCUGCCUUUCAUCCUUCCAGAGUUAAUAAAAGAAAGUACUAGUAAAGUACUGAAGUAUCAACUAUACCUCCUCCCUUCAAAGCCGCUGGCCUUGCAUCUAAAUUAAAGCAUUAUUAUUAAAUUGAUGGAGAGGUAGUAUUUGGUUGACCUCCUGACAAAAUAUAUAUUAGGGUUGGAUAAAAUGAAGCCCUAGUAGUCUAUAGGGUUUUUGAAUCAAUCAUGUGUACUCUUCCUUAGAACUGUGUGAUCCUGUGACAUUGUGAAAAAUCAUUAUUAAGAUGAAUAGAAUGACUUAAGUGGUGGAGCACAGGAUGAACGUGUUUUGUGGUAUUUAGGUAAGUUUAUGUUCUUAACCAAUAAAAUAUGCACUUGUGAUCUACUAGUGAUCUGAUAUAAGAAACCAUUAUUAUGAAGGUGAGACAGAAAAUAAUGCAACUUUUAUUUGCAUUAUUUUCUGGUUCAUCCUUGUGCUAUUUACUCUUUCAUUCAAGUACUAAUAUUGAUUUAAUCAACAAACCUCUCCCCCAAAUUUUUGGCCUAUGUUAGAAACAUUAUUGUCAUUAUUAUUAUUUCAUUUUAAAGACUUUAUGGGAAACAUACAGUGAAAGGUUUGAUAUUUUAAUCAAUGAAGUACAGCUGUUAUUUGCAUUCUCCCCCAAGCACCUGGUUUAUAUAUGCAGUGCUUUCUGUUGGGUUCAAAACUAAGACAGCCGUCUGACAUAAACAAGGUAUAUAUUUGGCCUUUGAACUCUUGAAUACUGCAUCUGUAAAUGGUGAGUGGCGGCAGUGUAGGUUGUGGUGUAUAAAAAUCAAGCUAAAGAUAAAAAAUUAUCAGUUAUUAAGAAUUAUCAAAUGCAAUUUAACUGUUCUGCUUAAUAUUACAGCAAACACUUGAUAAAGAGAAAAAAAAUGGUUGUCACACACAUGUAUAGAUUUAUAUACAUUCACACUCAUACAACUAUACAUUCCUCAUUUCUGGUUGUCAUCUACAUUGUUAUUGUUAUUAUUACAGUUUUAUAUAAACAACCUGGUGAAUUAUCUCAUUUGGAUUUGUGUCCAUUAAUAUAUCAGAAGAGCCAACAAGCAUAUUGUUUGUGGAAAAAGAAAAAAAAACUGAUUUAAAAAAAAAAAUCAGUGGCUGUUUUUUGCUGUUGUUUGUUGUAGUCAGCUCUGAUAGAAUAGUCUCUAUCACUGGAGUAACUAAUUAAACAUUUAAUGACUUUCAAGAACAGAUCUCUGUCUUAUAGGUUCUUGGUUUUUAAACAUACAGUCCACUGUGAUGGUAUCUGAUUGCUAAGCUUGUCUGGUUGCCAGAUAACAUUGAACAUAUUUAAUGGAAAUCUUUUAGCUUGAAUGGCUGUUUUAGCUCUGUCUUCCAUGUUUCCUUUAUGGUUACUGAAAACAAAUUUUUGGUUUGAUCAAACAAAAAUGUCUUUUUCAAAUUUAAAUCCUGACAUGAAUGAGCUGGUUCUAGAAAUUCACUCUGCAUGAAUUGUUGAAGCAAGCACUGUUUUUUUUUUUAAGCAGCUGGAUAUCCUUCUUUAAUCAUUCAACUAUAUAGAGGGAGAGAUAUCCAAUAUUUAGCUAGAUAACCUAACAUAAUAUACUGUGCUUUUGCCAAGGGUCUACUUCACACAGGCAUCUCCUUCCCUCUACUUUCACACAAUAUGUGCGCAGCAGAGUCAAAUGUCUUUUAGUUGUGCUUAAUGUGAUUUCUAGUAUCUUGACACAGUUGGUAUAAUGAAAAGAAAGUGUAGAUACAAAAUGGCUUGUGAAAUCUAUCACAAAGUGUGAGUGACAUUUAGUUUUGCUAAUUAUCAUAUGAACUCCAUAUCUAAGAACACCCAAGUAUAUUAGUGCUUUAGUUUCUGUCCAAUGGGACAGCAGAACAAAGUCUACUUUCUUUUUUUAUCUUGUUAUUAUGUACAUAAUGGUUGUUUAGUUUAUGUGGCUGUUGUGCCACCAAUCUAGCUGCUGUUAUCAAUAUGUACCAAGUAUACAGUGUGGUCUAAUUGUUGGUUGUAAACUGUCCCAUGUACUGUUGAUGGUAUAGUUAAAUAUUUGGUGUUGAAACUUCUCUGCUAUAUAUUCAGUCUAACUUUUAUGGUAGUGUUAAGAGAAGUCUAAUUUAACUCUCUAAAGUAGCUUAGAUCUGCUCACACACAGUACCUAGUGGUACCCAUUGGUGGUAUGUAAGUGAAAUAGUAUUUUAGAAAGCCAUAAAAUCCCAGUUUGGUCAAUGAAUGAUGUUAUUUAAAACCAUUUUACCUGGUUUCAAAGUUUAUAUUUGGAGUCAGUCAUAUAGAAAAGAGAAGAGAAUGUACAUGCAUUCAUUAUUCAAUUCCGAAUUGUAAUGUUUGAUUUUGUAGUUAUAAGUGAUAUGGUCAUCCUUAUCACUUUAUUUAUUGGUGAUAACUCAAAGGUCAAUCUCAAAAUAAUUUUGUCUUGUAUGGCUUAUUUGCUACCAUAUUAGUUUUUCUCAGUGAAGUAGAUGAAGCAACUUCAAUUUGAAGGGAGUUAAAAUUAAUCUCAAAUAAUAUAUUUACAAAAAGUAUAACCAAACUGAUAAUAGACAGUAGUAUAUUCAUAACAAUUGUUUUAGAGUAACUGAGGGGGUGUAGCUUGGAAUUUAAGCUUUUUCUUUCGUUUUUUUUUUUUGAAAGAAAAAUUCCAGUCAUCAUUAUGUUUAGAAUUCUGUUUAGGAGAGUAAAAUGUUAGGGAAGUUGUUAAUUUGGUUGUGUGUGUUUUUGCAGGAGUUAACAUUUUUGCAUAUUUUCACAUAGUCGUUCCAAUCUUCUACCAUUACUGAUAUGUUCUGGUGAACCUAAUUAUGUUACCGUCCAGUCAGUCAGAAUAAUGAGAAAUCCUCUAUCUGUAAUCCAUAUUAGAAAUUAUUCUUGAUUUAAUAUUGAGAGACUUCUUGGAAGGAGUUUCUUCAUGUUGAUCCGUGUAUAAUUCCAUAGCACUGAACUACUCUGCAAAUGUAAGAAAUAACAGGGAAUCAUUGGUGGAUUUCAUUUCCUGGAAGGAAUGCCAUCAACGGUUCUCUACUAAUUCCUACAUUAACAGAAUAAUUUCUGACUUAGCAUUUGUGCUCUGUUUUGGUGGCAUCCAAAUGCAGUUGAUCUCUUGAGAGGUGGUAGGUUGUAUAACACUAUGAAGCCAAGUGUUUGCAAUAUGGAUUAAGUAUUUACACUUAACAUUAUCGAAUGACUUUUUUUUUUAUAUAUAUAUAUGAAACAAUUG